Molecule: ribosomal RNA, 488 nt
Filed under: uncultured bacterium
Lineage: Bacteria
Description: bacterial SSU rRNA
Rfam family: Bacterial small subunit ribosomal RNA
Source: RNAcentral
AGAGACGCUGGCGGCGUGGAUUAGGCAUGCAAGUCGAACGGUUAUCAUCCUUUCGGGGGUGAGAGAGUGGCGAACUGGUGAGUAACACGUAGGUUAUCUACCCUCAAGACGGGGACAACCCAGGGAAACUUGGGCUAAUACCGGAUGUGAGCAACUUUUAGUUGUUUGAAAGGUGGCGUAAGCUGUCGCUUGGGGAUGAGCCUGCGUCCUAUUAGUUAGUUGGUGAGGUAACGGCUCACCUAGGCAAUGAUAGGUAGGCGGCCUUAACGGGUGGUCGCCCACACUGGGAUUGAGAUACGGCCCAGACUCCUACGGGAGGCAGCAGUCGAGAAUAGUCUACAAUGGUCGGAAGACUGAUAGUGCGACGCCGCGUGAACGAUGAAUCCCUUCGGGGUGUAAAGUUCUUUUAUAUGUGAGCAGUGCUUCUUAUAUUUAACAGUAUGGGGAGAGAGAUAUUAGCAUAUGAAUAAGCAACGGCUAACUCCGUG